GUGCUUUUUUGGCAGCACAUAUACUAUCAUUGGAAUGAUACAGAGGAAGAUUAGGCAUGGCCCCUGCAAAAAGGAUGACAUGCAAGUUCAUGAAGCAUUCCAUAGUUAG
Molecule: small nuclear RNA, 109 nt
Organism: Phodopus roborovskii (desert hamster)
Lineage: Eukaryota; Metazoa; Chordata; Mammalia; Rodentia; Cricetidae
Source: RefSeq, a predicted model, not a curated record